AAAAAAUUCCUGAUAUUCAAUAACACCUUUCUUCUACUCUGAGUUCAACAUAAAUCAUUGGCAAAGCAUAAUAUAAAAACUAAAAUUUAGUUCCAAAACUGGAAUGUAACUUGAUCUGAUAUAAAAAUAGUAUCCAAUUGGGAAUAACCCAAAAUAAAAACACAAGCUCACAGCCUUCUCCCUCUUCUACCACCCUUUCUGCGAGUGCU
This 209-nucleotide unclassified non-coding RNA is filed under the name Hevea brasiliensis (rubber tree). The record is from RNAcentral. Lineage: Eukaryota; Viridiplantae; Streptophyta; Magnoliopsida; Malpighiales; Euphorbiaceae.